UACGGAGGGUGCAAGCGUUGUUCGGAAUUAUUGGGCGUAAAGCGCGUGUAGGGGGUUGGGUAAGUCAGAUGUUAAAGCCUUCUGCUUAACAGAAGAAGUGCAUUUGAAACUACUCGGCUGGAGUACGGGAGAGGAGAGUGGAAUUCCCGGUGUAGAGGUGAAAUUCGUAGAUAUCGGGAGGAACACCAGUGGCGAAGGCGGCUCUCCGGUCCGAUACUGACACUGAGACGCGAAAGCGUGGGGAGCAAACAGG
RNAcentral lists this ribosomal RNA (253 nucleotides) under uncultured bacterium. RNAcentral's name for it is "partial 16S ribosomal RNA". It matches the Rfam family "Bacterial small subunit ribosomal RNA", at positions 524 to 776 of the family's 1533-position model. The record is from RNAcentral.